GUAUUUGGUCAUUUAGAACAACAACAGUCUCUCCAUUUCUUUGAAUAGUAAGUGUAUUUCGGUGUAUGUUGACAAAAGUAGAAACUACAGCAAAAACGAAGUGCCUCUAAUUUUUAAUUCGCCUUUCCUCGUACUCUGUGAUAAGAGGCGGUCAGUCGCCUUUACGACAGGAGAAGUGGAGAAUUUCCAUUGAAACGUGCCGCUCGUUAUCGUGAUAGGAAUUACGCCUGUCAUUGUAGUUUACCCGCGAACGUGACGUCUUUCGUCGUUCCUGGAGUUGACUAUACGGUAAGCUCGAACGCCGUCGCUGUUACCUCCACCGACUCAGCGUCUCGUAGCCUGGUAAUUAACUGGAUUGUGACUGUGCACGUCGGAACUAGCGUGAACGGUCCUUUUGGUGAACACGCUCUGGCCAACGGGCACAUCGAGCAUAUUUGUGUCAACCUAACAAGAUGUCGUGUCCUAGCCCACAGCCAGAUGGCUGCAUUCGUCCUAUACGGAUUCGUUCAACUGAGAGGCGUAUUUACGUUGUCCACCUAAAACCUACAGCCUGGUGUCGUGAGGGGCUCCUAGCACCAGGCAGGUUGCAGUGCGACGCUUGCAGAAAACGUCAUUCACAAGACAUCGAGCUACGUUUUAAGCAAACAACGACCAAUCAACUGAAACCUAUCGGUCCAAUGUAAAGUCUACCGCGUGUAAAAAUUUCCUCUGGUUUGGCAGCAUUUGGAUGGCCCUCAGCGAUCCGACGAUGGGAUAGACCUACUGGGUCAUUGAAAUCAUCGCAGUUUGAGAUACCCGUUACGGAUCCUACAGCUAAUCGAAUUAGAGACAAUUAUAAAUAACGACUUGUAAUAAUAUGCGCUUAAAUUCACUAAAGGUAUAUAGACAUGCACAUAUAUGCUGGACCAUUAAGUAUAUCAAAUGAACUAUUCACCUUCCACCAACAACAAUUUAACUCAAUUUGGUACCUUUUUUUUUUUUUGGGACACGUAAACUUCUUUUGUCUUUUUCUACAACACGUUGAUGCUUAAUCAAAUAAAAACCAGUUAGAGCAACAUCAUCGCCAUCACUGGUACCGUCUUUCUCGUCACCAUAACGAUCGUCGGCUGUGGCAUCAGGACAGGGAUAGGAAAAUGCAAAGCAAACACGCGGGUGCCGUAAGCGCUGCUCGGUUAUUAUCAAGUGCAUUACCCACUGUUCCGCCUGUCGUUCUUUGUUGA
This is a long non-coding RNA of Varroa destructor (honeybee mite), 1220 nucleotides long. RefSeq lists it as uncharacterized. NCBI's taxonomy places the organism in Eukaryota, Metazoa, Arthropoda, Arachnida, Mesostigmata, Varroidae. The record is from RefSeq and is a predicted model, not a curated record.